This 3141-nucleotide long non-coding RNA is filed under the name Homo sapiens (human). Its description in RNAcentral is "ZNF496 divergent transcript, transcript variant 1 (ZNF496-DT)". Lineage: Eukaryota; Metazoa; Chordata; Mammalia; Primates; Hominidae. The record is from RNAcentral.
GUGGGUCAGCCACGUCGCCGCGCCCGGGCUUCCCCGCGGGCCCGCCGGUCCGGAAGGUCGGCCCGGGGCUCUUUUCUCCGCUGUUCUCCUUCUCUGGCGCCCCCAGGACACGCGGCCAGUGGACGCCCGGAACGGCCGACCGGGAGUCGCGGCUGGGGAUGGAAGCUGGAAUUGGGGGUGCGGGAUGGAGCGGAGAGAGGAGGCCCCGCGCGCCGUCGGCCGCCUCAUUUCAGACUCCCCUGCGACCCCCCCCCCGCCGCCAGCCGAAGCCCGGGCCGCCCAGCCCCUCCUGCCGCUGCGGGACGCCGAAGGUAGCGCUCACAUCCGCGCCUUCCGGGCCUGGCGCCCACGUGCGGAGUCCCCGGGUUAGGAAAGGCCGCGCAUCCGGAGGCCACGCAGAGCCUCGGGGCUUGCGCAGAGGGGCUGCGGUUGGGUUUCAGCCGAGCAAGUCUGAGGCCCCUUUCCCGCGCCCUCUGGUGGAAAGUGUUCGCUUUUCUGUCCACCCAUGUGAAGGAUUCACCCCGACCCUCCUCAGGUGGCCUUUACUUUGCAGGAGCAAAGCAAGUUGGAUGAGGAGAUACAUGUAUGUGGCACACAGCUUUCUUCACUUAGCAACACGUCAGAUGCAGCGUAGAUGUGCGGAUGAAACCACCAUUGCAAAAUUAUCACUGAGACAGUCAGAGAAACCUGACAUGGCUGACUCCAUGUUGCUUUUAGCCUCACAGGCUGGCUCUCUUAGCUCAUUCCUAAGCAUGGGCCUGAAACUGCCAUUGCAAAAUCGUAACUGAGACAGCAAAAGAGACUUGACCUAACCAACUCCAUCUUGCUUCUAACCUCCAAGCUGUCCUUGUUCAUUCCUGGGUGUAGGCUGAACUAACUUUGGGAGGAACUUAAUUUAUAGUUUAAAACAAAGACGAUAAGACGAUAACAGCCCUUUCUCAAAACAAACAUCCUUCCUGACUGGGGACUAGACUGCCUUUGUAGGAUUAACAAAUUAGCCACAAGAUCAGAAAUUAUAGUUUAGGAGUCAUGCAGCUGGAGGCUCUAAGAUUGUGACCCUCCCUAAACCGCUCAGUGCUUGAGAUGUUUUACAGACCCUGCACUUAAUGGAUCAGCUGGCACCACCCAGAUGGAUAAACUGGCUCAUGUGAUCUUGUGGCCCCCACCCAGGAACUGACUCAGUGCAAGAAGACAACUUCAAUUCCCUAUGAUUUAAUGUCCUACCGAAUCAAUCAGCACUCCUGACACACUGGCUUCCCCUCACCCACCAAAUUGUCCUUAAAACCUCUGAUCUCCAAAUGCUUGAGGAGACUGAUUUGAGUAAUAAUAAAACAAGGCUCCUGCACAGCCGGCUCUGCGCGAAUUACUCUUUCUCUACUGCAGUUCUCCUGUCAUGAUAAAUCGGCUCCAUCUAGGCAGCCAGCAAGGUGAACCCACUGGGUGGUUACAGGCCACGCUAAGUUCGGGAGAAAUUUAGUUUAUGGUUUAAAUGAUAACAGCCCUUCCCCAAAACUAAACUGCCCUGGUAAAACUAAUGAAAGGCCGCCAAGUUAGGAGGAUGACAGGGGCCUGAAUUCUACUGAGCCGUAAGCGUAAUUACCGGCCAUUAUUCCAGAGGACACAAGAUUUGCAACUUGCCUAAUUACUCCUGCAAAGAACAUCGCUACUGUAGCACCUGAGAAUGGCCUUUUGAGAUGUGUUUUCAGGCUUUUGCACUUCUGACAACUGAUGGCUGCACUUGGACUCGCCAGCCGGUCCCGCGUCCCCACCAGAAGCAGAGUAAGCACAAGAGGACAGCUCCGACUCCCUAGGAUUUCAGCUCUGACCAGUCGCACGCCUGGCUCACUGGCUUCCCCACACCCACCAAGUUGUUCUUAAAAACUCUGCUGCCCGAAUGCUCAGGGAGAGUGAUUUGAGUAAUAAUGAAACUGUUGUCUCCUGCACAGUCGGCUCUGCGUGAAUUACUCUUUCUCUAUUGCAAUUCCGCUCUCUUGAGAAAUCGGCUCUGUCCAGGCAGCAGCAAGGUGAAGCCACUGGGCGGUUACACUGAUAUGAUUCCCCCUUUGCAGUUUUUACUCUCUUGGUGCUGCAAACAGUUCCUCACUGAGGACCCUUGUACACGUAUCACUGUGAGCAUGAAUCCGAAUUUCUUUAGGAGACAUACAUACUAGUGGGUAUGUGCAUGUUAUGUAAUUUCUCUUAGCACUGUUUCCUCACUCAUCAAAUAAGGAUCAAGUAGUUCUCACCACACAGGGUUAUUUUAGAAAUAAUUUAGUAUACAUAAUAUACAAUGCAAUAACAAGUACUGAUGUCUACUUCUUUUAGGUUAUAUGAUAAUACCUUAUACAUAGUACAUGUGUGAUUAUAUAUAUUGCAAUGUAGAGUACGAUCUAUAAUUUACAGAACUGUUGUUUAUAUAUAACAAAUGCUGUCCUUGCGAUAGUUUGCUCAGAAUGAUGGUUUAUGUAUACAUAUGUAACAAACCUGCACGUUGUGCACACGUACCCUAGAACUUAAAGUAUAAUUUUAAAAAAUGCUAUAAUUCAUGUGGUGAUUAUUAUCUACCAGUUACAUCAUCGAUAGAAUGAGGACGUUGUUAACGGUACACGCCAGACAGGAUGGCUGUGAGGAUCUGUGAUAAUAAGAAUUAGAUAUUUGGUCUUUGUCCCUGUUUCCUGAUGGAGGCUUCUAAACCCCUUGGAAUUCCCUGACUGAUAGGGGCAAGAGGAAAUCUUUUGUUAUUCCUAACGAGCCCCUUUCAUCCAUGCCUGUGUUUAUGCUAAUGAGGUGACUCCUGGAGGAUGAGGGCUGGUUGCCAGGGGAAUCAACUUUGCCUUGCAACUUUCAGCUCCAGUCCGUGACUUCCAGGGAAAGAACAGGGGCUGGAGAUUGAGUUUAAUCGCCAAUGACCAGUGAUUUGAUCAUUCAUGCUUAAAUAAUGGAACCAUAAGAAACCUAAAGAAAAGGUUUGGAGAGCUGCUGGGUUCAGGAGCACAUUCGUGUGCUGGGAGGGUGUUGUGCCUGGUGAAGGUGUGGAAGCGCUGACUCUGCCUCGCAUACCUUGUCCUGUCUGUGUCUUUCAUCUGGCUGUUGCUGAGUUGUGCUGUUUAUAAUAAUAAACUGGUAACAGGAAGUAAAGCA